UACGUAGGUGGCAAGCGUUGUCCGGAAUUAUUGGGCGUAAAGGGCGCGUAGGCGGUACUCUAAGUCAGAUGUGAAAUCCCGGGGCUUAACUCCGGACGUGCAUUUGAAACUGGAGAACUCGAGUGCAGGAGAGGUAAGUGGAAUUCCUAGUGUAGCGGUGAAAUGCGUAGAUAUUAGGAGGAACACCAGUGGCGAAGGCGACUUACUGGACUGUAACUGACGCUGAGGCGCGAAAGCGUGGGGAGCAAACAGG
Molecule: ribosomal RNA, 253 nt
Filed under: uncultured Gracilibacter sp.
Lineage: Bacteria; Bacillati; Bacillota; Clostridia; Eubacteriales; Gracilibacteraceae
Description: partial 16S ribosomal RNA
Rfam family: Bacterial small subunit ribosomal RNA
Source: RNAcentral